RNAcentral lists this transfer RNA (64 nucleotides) under Tridacna squamosa. RNAcentral describes it as "tRNA-Met". Lineage: Eukaryota; Metazoa; Mollusca; Bivalvia; Cardiida; Cardiidae. The record is from RNAcentral.
UCUAGGGUAAACUAAUUAAGUUGUCGGGCUCAUAACCUGAAUAUGAGAUUUAACUCUCCUAGAU